RNAcentral lists this unclassified non-coding RNA (345 nucleotides) under soil metagenome. RNAcentral's name for it is "partial contains 5.8S ribosomal RNA, internal transcribed spacer 2, and large subunit ribosomal RNA". The stretch from base 1 to 120 matches the Rfam family "5.8S ribosomal RNA", at positions 35 to 154 of the family's 154-position model. The record is from RNAcentral.
GAUGAAGAACGCAGCGAAAUGCGAUAAGUAAUGUGAAUUGCAGAACUCAGUGAAUCAUCGAGUCUUUGAACGCACAUUGCGCCCCCUGGUAUUCCGGGGGGCAUGCCUGUCCGAGCGUCAUUGCUGCCCUCAAGCACGGCUUGUGUGUUGGGCCUCCGUCCUCCUCCCGGGGGACGGGCCCGAAAGGCAGCGGCGGCACCGCGUCCGGUCCUCGAGCGUAUGGGGCUUCGUCACCCGCUCUUGUAGGCCCGGCCGGCGCUUGCCGACACAUCAAUCUUUUUUCCAGGUUGACCUCGGAUCAGGUAGGGAUACCCGCUGAACUUAAGCAUAUCAAUAAGCGGAGGA